CAGACCGUAGCCUUACACAUGCAAGUCGAACGGAAUCUUUAGGGAUUUAGUGGCGGACGGGUGAGUAACGCGUGAGAAUCUGGCUUCAGGUCUGGGACAACCACUGGAAACGGUGGCUAAUACCGGAUGUGCCGAGAGGUGAAAGGCUUGCUGCCUGAAGAUGAGCUUGCGUCUGAUUAGCUAGUUGGUGGGGUAAGAGCCUACCAAGGCGACGAUCAGUAGCUGGUCUGAGAGGAUGAUCAGCCACACUGGGACUGAGACACGGCCCAGACUCCUACGGGAGGCAGCAGUGGGGAAUUUUCCGCAAUGGGCGAAAGCCUGACGGAGCAAUACCGCGUGAGGGAGGAAGGCUCUUGGGUUGUAAACCUCUUUUCUCAGGGAAGAAAAAAAUGACGGUACCUGAGGAAUAAGCAUCGGCUAACUCCGUGCCAGCAGCCGCGGUAAUACGGAGGAUGCAAGCGUUAUCCGGAAUGAUUGGGCGUAAAGGGUCCGCAGGUGGCUGUGUAAGUCUGCUGUUAAAUAGUCAUGCUCAACAUGAUAAAGGCAGUGGAAACUACAUAGCUAGAGUGCGUUCGGGGCAGAGGGAAUUCCUGGUGUAGCGGUGAAAUGCGUAGAAAA
This 618-nucleotide ribosomal RNA is filed under the name Anabaena sp. 113. RNAcentral's name for it is "bacterial SSU rRNA". It matches the Rfam family "Bacterial small subunit ribosomal RNA", at positions 36 to 697 of the family's 1533-position model. Lineage: Bacteria; Bacillati; Cyanobacteriota; Cyanophyceae; Nostocales; Nostocaceae. The record is from RNAcentral.